AGUGAACGCUGGCGGUAGGCCUAACACAUGCAAGUCGAACGGCAGCACAGUAAGAGCUUGCUCUUACGGGUGGCGAGUGGCGGACGGGUGAGGAAUACAUCGGAAUCUACUUUUUCGUGGGGGAUAACGUAGGGAAACUUACGCUAAUACCGCAUACGACCUACGGGUGAAAGCAGGGGAUCUUCGGACCUUGCGCGAUUGAAUGAGCCGAUGUCGGAUUAGCUAGUUGGCGGGGUAAAGGCCCACCAAGGCGACGAUCCGUAGGUGGUCUGAGAGGAUGGAGCAGCCACACUGAACCGAGGACACGUGCCACACCCUAAGGGGGGGAACAGGGGGGAAUAAUAGAACAAUGGGGGCAAGCCUAUUCCGCCAAAACGCCGGGGGUGAGAAGGGCCUCCGGGUUGUAAAGCCCUUUGUUGGGAAAGAAAAGCAGCAGGUUAAUACCCCGCUGUUCUGACGGUACCCAAAGAAUAAGCACCGGCUAACUUCGUG
Molecule: ribosomal RNA, 492 nt
Filed under: uncultured bacterium
Lineage: Bacteria
Description: partial 16S ribosomal RNA
Rfam family: Bacterial small subunit ribosomal RNA
Source: RNAcentral